CAAGCCACUCUUCUUGGAUCUCUGCUAAAGCUAAAGGCAGGAAACAUAGCUCCCACCGGAGCUAGGUGUCCAUGUCAAUCAGUGAUUACAAGAGGCUUAAGCAAGCAGAACUCCGGUGUGAAAUUCAGUAACUCACAAGAGGAAGCCCAAGAUCCAGCUGACCCAGGGCCAAGAAGAAAGUUCUAGAACUAAAGAGGUGUUUGGCACCCUCACUAUGUUUGAGAAGCCAGACCUGUUCCCACAUCAGGACCCUAACUUUGGAGAUAGGAAAACAAAGCAAAAUAUGGAACAAAGAAUGGUCCUAUUUGCUAAAGGCUCUGCUAUUGGUGAACACAAAGAAAAUGGGAACUAGCAUCCUGCUGAAGCCAAGCAAAGAUUGCCCAAAGAGGAGACACUUGAUUUAACUUUUGAAGGAUCUAGAAACAGAAACAGUUGUCAAAAACCCAAAGAAAGUGCUGAAAGGAUCCCAGGACUGCGGGAUGCUGCUGCUGGUGCCACCCCAGAUGCUCUGUAGAACUGAUGGGAACUUCGUAUCACCCACUCACAUUCAACUUUUAACUCACCCUAAUGCAGAGGACAUUUUCCCCUCAUACUAAUCAGUCAUAAAAUCAAAGCUGCCCC
This is a long non-coding RNA of Mastomys coucha (southern multimammate mouse), 621 nucleotides long. RefSeq lists it as uncharacterized. Lineage: Eukaryota; Metazoa; Chordata; Mammalia; Rodentia; Muridae. The transcript has 3 exons. The record is from RefSeq and is a predicted model, not a curated record.